RNAcentral lists this ribosomal RNA (407 nucleotides) under uncultured Cellulosimicrobium sp. RNAcentral describes it as "bacterial SSU rRNA". It matches the Rfam family "Bacterial small subunit ribosomal RNA", at positions 355 to 774 of the family's 1533-position model. Lineage: Bacteria; Bacillati; Actinomycetota; Actinomycetes; Micrococcales; Promicromonosporaceae. The record is from RNAcentral.
UGGGGAAUAUUGCACAAUGGGCGAAAGCCUGAUGCAGCGACGCCGCGUGAGGGAUGAAGGCCUUCGGGUUGUAAACCUCUUUCAGCAGGGAAGAAGCGCAAGUGACGGUACCUGCAGAAGAAGCGCCGGCUAACUACGUGCCAGCAGCCGCGGUAAUACGUAGGGCGCAAGCGUUGUCCGGAAUUAUUGGGCGUAAAGAGCUCGUAGGCGGUUUGUCGCGUCUGGUGUGAAAACUCGAGGCUCAACCUCGAGCUUGCAUCGGGUACGGGUAGACUAGAGUGCGGUAGGGGAGACUGGAAUUCCUGGUGUAGCGGUGGAAUGCGCAGAUAUCAGGAGGAACACCGAUGGCGAAGGCAGGUCUCUGGGCCGCAACUGACGCUGAGGAGCGAAAGCAUGGGGAGCGAACA